GACGAACGCUGGCGGCGUGCUUAACACAUGCAAGUCGAACGGUGAUGCUCCAGCUUGCUGGAGUGGAUCAGUGGCGAACGGGUGAGUAACACGUGAGCAACCUGCCCCAGACUCUGGAAUAAGCGCUGGAAACGGCGUCUAAUACUGGAUACGAAACUGGCCCGCAUGGGCAGGGUUGGAAAAUUUCUGCGGUUUGGGAUGGGCUCGCGGCCUAUCAGCUUGUUGGUGAGGUAGUGGCUCACCAAGGCGACGACGGGUAGCCGGCCUGAGAGGGCGACCGGCCACACUGGGACUGAGACACGGCCCAGACUCCUACGGGAGGCAGCAGUGGGGAAUAUUGCACAAUGGGCGAAAGCCUGAUGCAGCGACGCCGCGUGAGGGAUGACGGCCUUCGGGUUGUAAACCUCUUUCAGCAGGGAAGAAGCGAAAGUGACGGUACCUGCAGAAGAAGCACCGGCUAACUACGUG
This 468-nucleotide ribosomal RNA is filed under the name uncultured bacterium. RNAcentral describes it as "partial 16S ribosomal RNA". It matches the Rfam family "Bacterial small subunit ribosomal RNA", at positions 28 to 507 of the family's 1533-position model. The record is from RNAcentral.